AACCCAUGGUGAGGGCACCUUCUCAAUAGAUCCUUGUAUCUCUCUCAUGCAUUAAAGAGUGUUUCUAGAUCCAUCUGCACAAAAGAAGAGAUAUCAUUCCUCAAUUU
Molecule: non-coding RNA, 107 nt
Organism: Gossypium hirsutum (cotton)
Lineage: Eukaryota; Viridiplantae; Streptophyta; Magnoliopsida; Malvales; Malvaceae
Source: Rfam